UACAGAGGUCCCAAGCGUUGUUCGGAUUCACUGGGCGUAAAGGGUGCGUAGGUGGCCAGGUAAGUUCGGUGUGAAAGCUCGGAGCUUAACUCCGAAAUGGCAUUGAAUACUAUCUGGCUAGAGGGUCGGAGGGGAGACUGGAAUUCUCGGUGCAGCAGUGAAAUGCGUAGAUAUCGAGAGGAACACCAGUGGCGAAGGCGAGUCUCUGGACGACACCUGACACUGAGGCACGAAAGCCAGGGGAGCAAACAGG
Molecule: ribosomal RNA, 253 nt
Filed under: uncultured bacterium
Lineage: Bacteria
Description: partial 16S ribosomal RNA
Rfam family: Bacterial small subunit ribosomal RNA
Source: RNAcentral